UCCCUGAAACUCUCGGAAGUAUCAUAUGCCAUCCUUGCAUGAACAAGUCAACAAACACACACAAACACAUUUUGUAUAUGUAUGCUAAAGUUCUCUAUUAUAUAUUUGAGAGAUUCUUGUGAGAUGAUGCCUUCACUACUUUCCGCAAGGCAUUUUUGAAUAGGUGCGAUGAUUUGCAUCAUUUAUCAGCGGCUGAAAGAAAGUCAUAGAUAGGGCACAAGGAUAAUUGUAAAUCAUUGGGAGGCAUAACCUCUCCGACAGGAUUAUCCUUACCAGGUAACAAAUGACAAAUAUGCUUGUCCUUUAUGACUGCCUUCCAUUUCAUAUCUCGCAAAUACAAAUAAUGUUCCAGCACAAAUUUGUUUGGCAGAAAAUCUUGACGAGUAGCACAAUGAAAGUUCACCAACUGUGAGUAGCCGAGUAAUCUUUAUCACUUUGAUUAAUUCUCUCUGUGUUUUUCUCUAUGUACUUGUGUAUAUGUGUAUCUGUGCAUAUAAUCAUGGCAGAAUUUGGAAGGUAUUUUCGUUUAUAGGUUAGGUCUAAUGUGUUUGUACUCACCGCACCAAAGCAGAGGCCUGGAACGAGACCCUUAUUGAAGAAGCCAUAUGAUAGAAGAGAGAUUGCGGGGACAGAAUUGAUUAUGGCAAAUACAUCGUUCAG
Molecule: long non-coding RNA, 660 nt
Filed under: Amborella trichopoda
Lineage: Eukaryota; Viridiplantae; Streptophyta; Magnoliopsida; Amborellales; Amborellaceae
Description: long non-coding RNA (ATRI_LNC000620)
Source: RNAcentral